GUGCUCGCUUCGGCAGCACAUAUACUAAAAUUGGAAUGAUAGAGAAGAUUAGCAUGGCCCCUGUGUAAGGAUGACAUGCAAAUUCAUGAAGCGUUCCAUAUUUUU
Bos indicus x Bos taurus (hybrid cattle) is the source of this 105-nucleotide small nuclear RNA. The record is from Ensembl. NCBI's taxonomy places the organism in Eukaryota, Metazoa, Chordata, Mammalia, Artiodactyla, Bovidae.